This 416-nucleotide ribosomal RNA is filed under the name uncultured Gemmiger sp. RNAcentral's name for it is "bacterial SSU rRNA". It matches the Rfam family "Bacterial small subunit ribosomal RNA", at positions 349 to 782 of the family's 1533-position model. The record is from RNAcentral. Lineage: Bacteria; Bacillati; Bacillota; Clostridia; Eubacteriales; Oscillospiraceae.
CAGCAGUGGGGGAUAUUGCACAAUGGGGGAAACCCUGAUGCAGCGACGCCGCGUGGAGGAAGAAGGUUUUCGGAUUGUAAACUCCUGUCGUUAGGGACGAUAAUGACGGUACCUAACAAGAAAGCACCGGCUAACUACGUGCCAGCAGCCGCGGUAAAACGUAGGGUGCAAGCGUUGUCCGGAAUUACUGGGUGUAAAGGGAGCGCAGGCGGGAAGACAAGUUGGAAGUGAAAACCAUGGGCUCAACCCAUGAAUUGCUUUCAAAACUGUUUUUCUUGAGUAGUGCAGAGGUAGAUGGAAUUCCCGGUGUAGCGGUGGAAUGCGUAGAUAUCGGGAGGAACACCAGCGGCGAAGGCGGUCUACUGGGCACCAACUGACGCUGAGGCUCGAAAGCAUGGGUAGCAAACAGGAUUAGA